GGCUGUUUGAAGGAGGACACACGUCUGGGGUGUCUGGGGUGUAAGCAUCACGAUGACUGCGGUGUAGGGACUGAACCCAGGACCCAGACGGGGAGGAGGAAUGCCAGAGAAGCUGCAGACUCUCCGGCCACGGAGCCUGAGUGGAGCAGAGGUGGCCCACUGUCAGCCACAGGUCAAGUGUCAGGGUGGGGACGGGGCAGGCUCCACCAGAAGGCGGGGGCAGGCUCCACCAGAAGGCGGGGCCAGACCACAGGGCAAGGUGGAGAUGAGUCUGUGGCACCCCCAGGAAGUUUACCAGAUUUGCCCCAGAGCUUCUGACCCUUUGGAUCUCUCUGGGCUGCAUUCUUCAGGGUCCCAUUGCUUCUUUCUUGAAGGUGGAAGGAAAUGUUCCCAUCAGAGCCUUCCAACAGGCCACCUUGGGGGCUUCUCCUGAGAGCUCCUUGUGCACACACCCCUUCAGGGUGGCUUGGGUUGCGCCCUCAGACCCCAGUGGGGGGCCGUAUGGCAUCCUCCUUGGUCAGCAAGUGAGCCACAGCAGCAGGCCCCUCACAGACCUCAGCCUGGGGCCACAGGUCCCUUCUCCCCAUCUCCGCAUCUGGAGAAGCAACCUGUGGAGCAGCCAAGAGUGGCAGCCCUGGCUCUCUACAGCAUUCAUUUUCAGGGCAAGACAGAGCAUUUCCACUAUUAUGCUCCCCCCCCCGGCCUUUUUUUUUUUUUUUUGAGACAGGGUCUCACUCUGUUGCCCAGGCUGGAGUGCGGUGGCGCAAUCAUGGCUCACUGCAGCCUCGACCUUCUGGGGUCAAGUGAUCCUCCCAAUUCAGCCUCCAAAUUUCUUUAAACAAAAAAAAAUGCAAGAAAGGCAAAACAAGAUAUUUAUCUGGGCUGAGAGGGUAAAGAGAAGCUCUAUCUUUGAGCUGAGACACAAAAUGGAAAGAAGAGGCAGCAGCAGCGGCAGUAGCAGUUCUGCCUUUCCAAACCUUCCCUAUCUAAGUGCUUUCAAGAUAUGCUGAAAGUCAUGAAUUGAAGUGUGGUUCCCACGGCUUUAGUCCUUGUAUGAAGGUCCUUUUGCUAGAACUUACUUCCUUUCCAGCCCAUAUGGUUGACCUGGGGGUCCAGGCAGUUCUCAAGGGAACCACAGGAUUCCAUGUGAUCUGGGAUCCCAGUUGAUGAUCCCUCUUCUGGUCACAAGCUGAAUUGGACCCAAAUCUGCACCCUAAACUCCCCUCUUGCCAGAUCCUGCCCAGUCAGUGCCGUCCCCUCAGACUGGGUGGGCAGCCUGGGCUUCCUGCUGAGACGGGACCCCCCCCUCUCUUCUUGAUCUCACUCCCAGGAAAGACACUGAAGGAGCAGAGGUGUGGACGCCACAUACUGGACGGGGUUUCACCAUCUGCUGGGACGGGACACCCUCUCUUCUUGAUCUCACUCCCAGAAAAGACACUGAAGGAGCAGAGGUGUGGACGCCUCAUACUGCUAGAGACGGGGUUUCACCGUGUUAGCCAGGAUGGUCUCAAUCUCCUGAAGUCGUGAUCCACCCGCCUUGGCCUCCCAAAGUGCUGGGAUUACAGGCGUGAGCCACUGCACCCGGCUGAAAUUGUAUACUUUAAAGGGAUGAAUUUUAUGGUAUGUGAAUUAUGUCUCAUUAAAAAAAACAAACUGUUAAGAAAACCAGGAGUGGUCUGGAGAAAUGCUUAGCCACGGCUCCAGGCUCCAGGCUGGGCCAUGCCUCACCUCUCUGGAUGGGAACUCAGCACAGCUGGCAUCAACAAAGCUGACUGUCCCCUGUGUCAGGCAUCACAGGGUCAGGAGGCUCCUGGCUCAGAGGGGGAUGUGAAGGAGGGCAGUGGAGGGAAGAGAGUCCUGGCACAGGGAAGAGGGAACCAGGCUGCCGGCCCAGUGCCCAGCUGCUCCCCAUCCCUCACACCCUGGCCCUGGAGCCCUUGGCCACAUGCCCCAUCCCAGGACCGCCUAGUUGUGAGAGAAGCCCCCGUGGGAGAAGGCAGGGAGGUCGGGGGCACAGGCAGCAGCCUGGGGCAGGCAAGCUAGGGGGUUGACCUCGCAGGCCCCAGCAUCCUGGUCCCCUCGGAAGUAGAUGGAGUCGGCAGAGUAGAAGGAGGGGUCUUCGUCAAAGAAGUUGUAGGGUCGGAGGAAGAAGCCCACGCUGUUCCCCACAGUCACUGUGUUAGGAAUGUCCUCUGCAUGUGGGAUAUGCAGAAAACCAGCUGUCA
This 2225-nucleotide long non-coding RNA is filed under the name Homo sapiens (human). RNAcentral describes it as "PREDICTED lncRNA (TCONS_00118536)". The record is from RNAcentral. Lineage: Eukaryota; Metazoa; Chordata; Mammalia; Primates; Hominidae.